RNAcentral lists this ribosomal RNA (776 nucleotides) under uncultured Neocallimastigales. Its description in RNAcentral is "partial large subunit ribosomal RNA". It matches the Rfam family "Eukaryotic large subunit ribosomal RNA", at positions 24 to 640 of the family's 3401-position model. Lineage: Eukaryota; Fungi; Neocallimastigomycota; Neocallimastigomycetes; Neocallimastigales. The record is from RNAcentral.
UAUGUGAUCGUCUCUCGCAUAUCAAUAAGCGGAGGAAAAGAAACUAACAAGGAUUCCCCUAGUAACGGCGAGUGAAGCGGGAAGAGCUCAAAUUUGAAAUCUUAAAGGGUUUCCCCUUACGAAUUGUAGUUUAAAGAAGUGUUUUCUGUUGAGGUUUUGGUAAAAGUUCUUUGGAAUAGGACAUCAUAGAGGGUGAGAAUCCCGUAUUUGACCUUUAGCUUUCAACUUUGUGAUACACUUUCAAAGAGUCGGAUUGUUUGGGAAUGCAGUCCAAAAUGGGUGGUAAAUUUCAUCUAAAGCUAAAUAUUGGCGAGAGACCGAUAGCGAACAAGUACCGUGAGGGAAAGAUGAAAAGAACUUUGAAAAGAGAGUUAAACAGUACGUGAAAUUGUCAAAAGGGAAGCGUUUGACACCAGUGUUGUUUUUCUGAAAAUCAAUUAAAGAACUGUUUAUGCUAAGCUGUUUAGACUUUAUCAGCUAAUCUGUUUAGUUUUGAGCUUUUCUUUAAUGCACUUUUCAGUUAACAAGUCAACAUCAAUUUCUUUUGCUAUAAAAAAGCUUGAGGAAGGUGGCUUGAGAUUCGUCUUAAGUGUUUAUAGCCUCUUGCCUAUGCAGUCGGAGAGAUUGAGGUCUGCAGCGUAGAUCCUUCGGGGCUAAAUGCAUUUGUGCUAAGUUAUAGCAUUUUAUAGACAACUUGUUGACUAUGAUUUGUCUUGUAGCUUACUCGCUUAUGUUAUUUUACCUACGCUUAGGAUGUUGAUAUGCAUGACUGAUAU